UAGGGAAUCUUCGGCAAUGGACGAAAGUCUGACCGAGCAACGCCGCGUGAGUGAAGAAGGUUUUCGGAUCGUAAAACUCUGUUGGUAGAGAAGAACGUUGGUGAGAGUGGAAAGCUCAUCAAGUGACGGUAACUACCCAGAAAGGGACGGCUAACUACGUGCCAGCAGCCGCGGUAAUACGUAGGUCCCCGAGCGUUGUCCGGAUUUAUUGGGCGUAAAGCGAGCGCAGGUGGUUUAUUAAGUCUGGUGUAAAAGGCAGUGGCUCA
RNAcentral lists this ribosomal RNA (266 nucleotides) under uncultured bacterium. Its description in RNAcentral is "partial 16S ribosomal RNA". It matches the Rfam family "Bacterial small subunit ribosomal RNA", at positions 355 to 611 of the family's 1533-position model. The record is from RNAcentral.